RNA transcript from Tripterygium wilfordii, 1996 nucleotides. RefSeq lists it as uncharacterized. The record is from RefSeq and is a predicted model, not a curated record. NCBI's taxonomy places the organism in Eukaryota, Viridiplantae, Streptophyta, Magnoliopsida, Celastrales, Celastraceae. The transcript is spliced from 4 exons.
UUAGGGUUUGGAACUCGUCACUUCUCCUGUACACGUGGAUGUGGGUUAUUUUACAGAGGGUUUCUGCCUUGGAUAUCCUCGCUUGGUGCCAGACAAUAACCAGUAGCAAUGGCCUAAAACCCUUCUCAUUCCUUAAACACUGCCCCUCUCUUUCUGUCUGUAUGAGGCUCUGGGAAUCUCUAUGCAUCGGAGCCCUCACAAACUUGAUCGGUUAGAGAACGACUUAAACCUUGCUUGCCAUAUACGUUCUGGCUGCCAUUUCAGAAGUCCAGAAGUAGCCAUAGUAUAGCUAUGCUUGAUAAUGAUUACAGCCACAUAGGGUCAUAUUUCAGCCAUACUUCUGUUGAACCAACUACUGAAAGGCUCAACUGUGAUAAUCACGCUUUCAGUUAUCCCUUAAGAAAAGAUUCAAACCAUUUUGAGAAUCCUCAGAAAGUUACACCAGGAAAAAGUUAUUCUAUUCUCCAAUCUCCUUGUUUUCAGCAUUGGUUCAAAAAUUGGCAAGAGAAAAGAAAGCACAAACUUACGGCAAGCACUUUUGCUGGGGCUAUUGGUUUUUGGCCUCGCAGGAGGGUCCAGCUCUGGCUGGAGAAGCUUGGGGCAAUCGAGCCAUUUGCUGGUAAUUUGGCCACACAUUGGAAUAACAUCAAAGAAGAGGAAGCACUCGAAAGAUACAAGCUUAUAACAGGAAACACAGUUUUAUUUCCAGAAUUUCAGGUCUAUCAUGAUAGGAAUCCAGAAGAUGAUUGGCUAGCAGCUUCACCAGAUGGGGUCGUUGACAAGUUUGUGCAUGAUUUGCCUUCCCGAGGAGUGCUAGAGAUCAAGUGCCCAUUUUUUCAUGGAGAUAUGAGGCAAGCUUCACCUUGGAAGCGAAUUCCUGUUUAUUAUAUUCCUCAAGCUCAGGGUUUGAUGGAAAUACUGGACAGGGAUUGGAUGGAUUUGUAUGUUUGGACCCCUAAUGGCAGCAGCCUUUUCAGGUUAUAUCGAGAUGCAGAUUAUUGGGAUGUCCUGAGAUUAUCGCUUUCUGAUUUCUGGUUGAAGCAUGUACAGCCAGCAAGGGAAAUCUGCAGCAGAUAUGUGAUCACAGAUCCCCUUGACCAAUUAAGUUAUCUCAGGCCAGAACCUAAGCAUGAACUCUUUCGCUAUAUCAUCUAUGAAAGUAAACGCAUUGUUGAUGACUCAAAGUUACUAAUGCGUGAAAUCCAUGGAGUGCUGCAAAACUGAAGCUUCUUUGUGUAUGCAAUUGGGUCUUUAUUUCGUGGUUGAAGGGAAAUGGAUUUUGUUUCUCAAAUAGCAAGCUCUUUGAGGAGUGGGAUUACUUUUACUGCUAGAAUUCACACUUGAAGGUUGGAGAAUUUUGGAAGACAUUACUGUUUAUGGUGUGGGGCUGGAAUUAAAGAUAUGGAUCAUUCACUCGGGGAAGGUAUGACGCUACUUUUCUCCUGACUCCCUUGUUCCAUGCCUUCAUAUUCUAGAGGCUAUAGCUCCAACUGCGAUGUACCAUUAUUUUGAAUAUUGUGGAAUGCAUGCAACUACACUAUGCUGUUGAUGGUAUGGAGUAUUUGCGCUCGAUGGAAGUUCGAUCAGCUCCUGGAAAGGGAACUAAGGAAGGGCAAUGUAUCUGAUUCACGUAGAGAAUACAAGAAGUUGAUAAAACUGUUGGACAUAUUGAACCUGAGUGCUUCCCAUACAGAGGAUUCGUCAACUUUAGUUGUUAUGGUUGUUUAUCUGCAACUCCUCUGUAAAUUGGACCUGUGUAGUUUUGAGUGGGUAAUGAAUCAGCACAAGAUUUCCCAGCUCGAGCGCAGAAGAAUCAGUUCUCUUUCAAUGAUUACUGCAUAUUCUGAACGGGAGUCGGACCAAAUGUGUACAUUAAUGUAAAGUACUUUACCAUGAGUAUGUUAAGACACUUUCAUGGUUAGCAGGGUUGCAUUACAAUUGUCUUGUCAGCUUGAACUAGCGCUCUGAAUAUGUGAUCUCUCAAAGAUGCAUUAAA